GAUGAACGCUGACAGAAUGCUUAACACAUGCAAGUCAUUGGCGAAGCUGCGCUUGCGCAGUCUAGCCAAGGCGGACGGGUGAGUAACGCGUAAGGAACUUGCCCUGCAGACAUGGAUAACAGACGGAAACGACUGAUAACACCUGGUAUUGUCAGGCUGGCGCAUGCCGGCCUGAUGAAAGGAGACGCUGCAGGAGAGCCUUGCGUCCUAUUAGCUAGUUGGUGGGGUAACGGCCCACCAAGGCGAUGAUAGGUAGCCGGCCUGAGAGGGUGAACGGCCACAAGGGGACUGAGAUACGGCCCUUACUCCUACGGGAGGCAGCAGUGGGGAAUAUUGGACAAUGGGGGCAACCCUGAUCCAGCAAUUCUGUGUGCACGAAGAAGGUUUUCGGAUUGUAAAGUGCUUUCAGCAGGGAAGAAGAAAGUGACGGUACCUGCAGAAGAAGCGACGGCUAAAUACGUG
RNAcentral lists this ribosomal RNA (462 nucleotides) under uncultured bacterium. RNAcentral describes it as "partial 16S ribosomal RNA". It matches the Rfam family "Bacterial small subunit ribosomal RNA", at positions 28 to 507 of the family's 1533-position model. The record is from RNAcentral.